RNAcentral lists this transfer RNA (69 nucleotides) under Moringua microchir (lesser thrush eel). Its description in RNAcentral is "tRNA-His". It matches the Rfam family "tRNA". Rfam says of the family: Transfer RNA (tRNA) molecules are approximately 80 nucleotides in length. Their secondary structure includes four short double-helical elements and three loops (D, anti-codon, and T loops). The record is from RNAcentral. Lineage: Eukaryota; Metazoa; Chordata; Actinopteri; Anguilliformes; Moringuidae. RNAcentral also lists the same sequence under 1 other name.
GUAAACAUAGUUUAAUAAAAACGUUAGAUUGUGAUUCUAAAAACAAGAGAUAAAAACUCCUUGUUUACC